GCCUCCUUAGGAUCCCAACAGUAUAUGGGGUUCAGAGAGCUUAUCGGUGGCAAACACAUCCACACUGGGAGGGUGAUGCACCCCAGCUCCAUGGGGACAGAAGCCCCCGGGCGCCAGAACCUCCCAGCCCCUGCCCUCUGCCUCACUUCAUCUGGCUGCUCAUCUGCAUCCUUGAUCAUGUCCUUUCAUAAACUGCUCCAUAAAGAGUUUCAGAGUUCCCCUCUGUGCCAGGCCCCAUGCUAAUUGAUGAAGAUACAACACUUUGAACAGGAGCUCUAAACUCUGGGGCCUCCCACCCCAUGCUGGAGAAUGGCAAACAUCACUGCAAAGAAGGGUAGGGCUUGUACCCUCAACACAUGACCAAAGUCAAGAGGAGGAGAGGGGAAGGGGAGGUAAUUGGGUAUACUCUCCACACUUUCCCUUCUCCAGCCAGUUCCAGAUUAUGAAUAGAACUGAGUUUUUCAUGCCACUGUGCUGUAUGUAGGUAUAUGUGCAUAUAUUAUAUAUAUAAUUAUAUGUAUUUAUAUAUAUGAAAUAUAUAUAUACAUUUUCUGUGUUUUAGGGAAUAUUCUUUUGCUUUAACCAUCCCAGGGCUAGGUGCCAGGCAACUAAAGACCACCACUAUCACCCAAAGACCACUGAAAUUAUUCACAUAAGCCAUUCCUGAGCAGUUCACCCUGCCCUAUCUUGCUUUCCCUUGAAACCUCAAUAAAGGCCAUGGCCUAAGCAUUUCCCCUGCUCUUGACUUCUGCCUCCUGACCGCCCUGGUGUUUUCCCAUGGGGCCCUGCAUGACGUGCUGAGCCUCCCAUCCCUAGGAACCUUUAAGUACAAUACCCUUUGUUCUCCUGAGCCUCUCUGUGACUCCUCUUGUGGUCACAUCUGUCUGACUACCUCAUAAAAGGAUGCACAAUAGCUAUUUAUCUUUGACAAUGAAUUUUUAGUUUGAAAACCCAUGAGAUGCUUUUAGAAAUUCUGAACAGCACACGAUAGCUUUGGUUAUCUCCAUGCUUCCAUAAGACAGCCAUGGCUCAGUCAUUUUCUGCUGGUUCCUUUGUCCCUGGGGUUCUCUACAGAAGGACGCUAGAGCCACUGCUUGGUAAGCUGUGAGGGGUCACUUAAGCAACCUACUAUUUCUCUGGCAGUGGUGUGUGUGUGUGUGUGUGUGUGUGUGUGUGUGCACUACAGUGAGGAUGGGGGCGAUAGUUGCAAACUUAAACUCCAGACCACAGAUUGAGAUCUCAGCCCUAACUUGAUGACCUUGGAUAAGCCACUGAACCUCUCUAAUGUUUCCAUUCCUGCCUCUGCAAAGAGGGGACCGGAACACCUUCCACACAGCAUUCACAAGAGCACCAGAAAUGGCCGCAAAGAACCCGGCAGCCUGGUGAAGCAGGGCCUCACAGAAGGGAAGCUGCCUCUCCUGCACUUCAACCAGAACAACAUUUGUUUUCUCCAGAAUCAUGGGUAACAUCUGCCUAGAAAAGGAGAUGAUGAAGACUUAGAGCUGUCAGGGAAUUAUGGAACCACCAACUCUGUAGGUGAGUCUCAGUAAAAUCUGUAAGUUUUUGAAAUCAUGGUAUCUCCAUUCCUGAAAUGUAGAGUCUUAGCAGACUCUACGCUAAGUUGCUAGCAUAGAGUCUGCACUCAAAAAACAAUUGCUGACUGGCUUGAAAGAUAUAAUAGUUAUGCAAAAAAAAAAACAGUUAAUGCUUACUGAGCACAUAAUAGUUAAUGCCAGACAUUAUACAAGGCUACUUACACAUACUAAUUCCCUUAAUUUCCACAGCAACUCUAUGAGAUAUGCUACUAAUAUAUCUCCAAUUUGAGGAUGGGAGACUGAGACACGGAGAGGGUCAGUAACUUGGCCAAGGUCACAUAGCUUAGAUUAGCUGGUAUUCAAACCUAGCAACAACCAUGGUGUUUUUUAAUCCACUAGCAUCUCCCAGGGGUCAAGCCCUGGCUAGAUAUCCAUUCUUCUAGUCAUCACAACAGUUCUCCAGGGAGGAUGAUUAAGCUCUUUUUACUGAUGAGGCCAAGGGAAGUGAAGUGACCACAGAUUUCCCAUGCUAGAAUACGGGAAUUAAAGAAAAAUUUCACCACGCUCAAGUUCUUGGAUAUGAAUUUAUCUGCCUUGUGCCCCUGAGCCUGCUCAAGCCUCAUGCAACCCACCCUGGACCUCUUUGAGAAUUCAGCUCAUGCUAUGUGACAUUAACCAGCCCAAUGGGCGACUGCAAAGAGUUUACAAUCCACUUCUUGAGCCACUACCAUGCACUCAGAAUUUUGCCUUAUUUGUGGCAUUUCUUACUUUCUGCUCUAUAUUCAGUGUCCACUCAGGGAGAGCUACUGAACAUAUUGCAUGUGUGACAUGGUUCUCCUCUGCCUGGUGAGUAAUACAUUCAGCUUUGUUCUUUUCAGUUUUGUAUUCACCGUUUUGAUAUGGUAUGUGUUUGAUUCCAAAGCCUGUAACAUUUUGCCUGCUGUUGCCCACCUUAUUGAGAAUACAUAAUAUUUUGCAAGUUGGACUCUUUGAAAAAGAGUCACCUUGGCCACCUUUCCAGGGAGGUUUGUGCUUAUAGUGGGCUGAAUGAUUACCUCCCCAAGGUGUCCCUGUCCUAAUCCCUGGGACCUGUGAAUAUUACCUGACAGGGCAAAAGAGGCUUUAUGGGUAUGAUUAAGAUAAUGAAUCUUUAGAAGGAAGAUUAUUCUGGAUUAUCUGGGUGGGCCCAAUGUAAUCACAAAGGUCCUUAUAAAAGGGAGAUAGGAAGGUUAGAAUCACAGAAAGAGAUGUGAUUA
Phyllostomus discolor (pale spear-nosed bat) is the source of this 2791-nucleotide long non-coding RNA. RefSeq lists it as uncharacterized. The transcript is spliced from 2 exons. The record is from RefSeq and is a predicted model, not a curated record. NCBI's taxonomy places the organism in Eukaryota, Metazoa, Chordata, Mammalia, Chiroptera, Phyllostomidae.